This 497-nucleotide ribosomal RNA is filed under the name uncultured bacterium. RNAcentral's name for it is "partial 16S ribosomal RNA". It matches the Rfam family "Bacterial small subunit ribosomal RNA", at positions 28 to 507 of the family's 1533-position model. The record is from RNAcentral.
GACGAACGCUGGCGGCGUGCCUAAUACAUGCAAGUUGAGCGCUGAAGGUUGGUACUUGUACCAACUGGAUGAGCAGCGAACGGGUGAGUAACGCGUGGGGAAUCUGCCUUUGAGCGGGGGACAACAUUUGGAAACGAAUGCUAAUACCGCAUAAAAACUUUAAACACAAGUUUUAAGUUUGAAAGAUGCAAUUACAUCACUCAAAGAUGAUCCCGCGUUGUAUUAGCUAGUUGGUGAGGUAAAGGCUCACCAAGGCGAUGAUACAUAGCCGACCUGAGAGGGUGAUCGGCCACAUUGGGACUGAGACACGGCCCAAACUCCUACGGGAGGCAGCAGUAGGGAAUCUUCGGCAAUGGACGAAAGUCUGACCGAGCAACGCCGCGUGAGUGAAGAAGGGUUUCGGAUCGUAAAACUCGGUUGGUAGAGAAGAACGUUGGUGAGAGUGGAAAGCUCAUCAAGUGACGGUAACUACCCAGAAAGGGACGGCUAACUACGUG